This is a long non-coding RNA of Gadus morhua (Atlantic cod), 734 nucleotides long. RefSeq lists it as uncharacterized. The record is from RefSeq and is a predicted model, not a curated record. Lineage: Eukaryota; Metazoa; Chordata; Actinopteri; Gadiformes; Gadidae. The transcript is spliced from 3 exons.
CGCAAACGGUGGCGUAGUAGCCUAAUGUGUCAACCGUUUGUGGCGUUAUAAUGUGUGCAACAGAACAGCCUAACGUGCAUCAUGCCGAGUGAGGCUCAAUGGCCUCUUGCUCAUCUCCUACAGUUUUGAGUGUCCAAGGAAGGCAGAAUUCUCCGACAGGGACUGAUCAUAAAAGAAACCAAACACAAUAUCAUUGUCAAACGCAUUGUCCAGGAGGAGAGAGGAACUUCUCUGACUUCUGCAGGGCUCAUCAGACCUACAGCGUUGCCACACAGACUCUCCUGACGUCUUUCCCCCCACCCCCAUCUGUCCCGCGGAACAACUCAACCGCAGGUUCGCCAACGUUGACAGAUUGCUCCUCAGGUUCUCCAUCUGUGGACAUUCAGCCAGAGCCGGAGACGAUCUCAGUGAAGGAGAAUAUGGAACCAGUUAUGUCCGCUGGUCAGGGCGCUGACCAAAUCAGAGAGGUCGGGGAUGAGGUCACCAAUAUCCUUCAGAGAACAGUGGGUGAUUAGAUAAUGACCAUUUGUUCCACGACAGCAUAACACAGUUUGGCUUAGCAACCACGUCAUUCCAUGAAGAAAAAAACUAAAUUAAUUGAAAAAUCUGAUGGUGUUUCAUUAAAGACACAACUAUGCUAAAAAAGUGCAUUCAUCCCAUUGGCACUUCUCCACAUCACUUCAAUAUGAUUUAUUUGGUAAAUUUGUGGGACAUUUUCUGCACAUGUAUGUACU